This 253-nucleotide ribosomal RNA is filed under the name uncultured bacterium. RNAcentral describes it as "partial 16S ribosomal RNA". It matches the Rfam family "Bacterial small subunit ribosomal RNA", at positions 524 to 776 of the family's 1533-position model. The record is from RNAcentral.
UACGUAGGGGGCAAGCGUUGUCCGGAUUUAUUGGGCGUAAAGAGCGUGUAGGCGGUUCGGUAGGUCCGUUGUGAAAACUCGAGGCUCAACCUCGAGACGCCGAUGGAAACCAUCGAACUAGAGUCCGGAAGAGGAAAGUGGAAUUCCUGGUGUAGCGGUGAAAUGCGCAGAUAUCAGGAAGAACACCCGUGGCUAAGGCGGCUCUCUAGUACGGUACUGACGCUGAGACGCGAAAGCGUGGGGAGCGAACAGG